AUUCAACCAAGAAAAACCUGCCACCUGGAUUAGAACCACUAUAUUAUUAUUAAAUAAUAAUAAUAAUAAGGAAUAUACCAACACAAGAUCUUCUAAAUCUUGAGGUGGAAAUUCCUAUACAUUCUCUUCUAUUUGAUUAUUUGUUCUAUUCUAAAUCACUAAAAAAAAUAAGAAAAAAGAAAAAAAGACCUCCUGAUUCUAUUUAUAGAAAAAAAUUGAAAUCUUUAAAGAAUUUCUAAUUAAAGAAGAAAUAAGAUAAGUAAUUAAUUUAGAAUUCCCCGUCUUUAGAGAAAAUCCUGGAUGAAAACAAGAGAAACAAGAGAAUUUGUAUAAGAGUAAUAUACAGUUAGAAGGUUCUACUAACUAAAUAAAUGGAAAUAAUUAUAAUGGAAAUAAAAUCGGAUUCCAGUCGAUGAAUCUUGCAAUGAGAUAUGCCCUACAAUAAAGCGAUAAACAAAGCAAACUAGACGGUUCGAUCAAAAUGAAUUCUUGU
RNAcentral lists this long non-coding RNA (493 nucleotides) under Nicotiana benthamiana. RNAcentral describes it as "long non-coding RNA (NBEN_LNC037312)". The record is from RNAcentral. Lineage: Eukaryota; Viridiplantae; Streptophyta; Magnoliopsida; Solanales; Solanaceae.